This 628-nucleotide ribosomal RNA is filed under the name uncultured Veillonella sp. RNAcentral's name for it is "bacterial SSU rRNA". It matches the Rfam family "Bacterial small subunit ribosomal RNA", at positions 28 to 626 of the family's 1533-position model. The record is from RNAcentral. Lineage: Bacteria; Bacillati; Bacillota; Negativicutes; Veillonellales; Veillonellaceae.
GACGAACGCUGGCGGCGUGCUUAACACAUGCAAGUCGAACGAAGAGCGAUGGAAGCUUGCUUCUAUCAAUCUUAGUGGCGAACGGGUGAGUAACGCGUAAUCAACCUGCCCUUCAGAGGGGGACAACAGUUGGAAACGACUGCUAAUACCGCAUACGAUCUAAUCUCGGCAUCGAGGAUAGAUGAAAGGUGGCCUCUACAUGUAAGCUAUCACUGAAGGAGGGGAUUGCGUCUGAUUAGCUAGUUGGAGGGGUAACGGCCCACCAAGGCGAUGAUCAGUAGCCGGUCUGAGAGGAUGAACGGCCACAUUGGGACUGAGACACGGCCCAGACUCCUACGGGAGGCAGCAGUGGGGAAUCUUCCGCAAUGGACGAAAGUCUGACGGAGCAACGCCGCGUGAGCGAUGACGGCCUUCGGGUUGUAAAGCUCUGUUAAUCGGGACGAAAGGCCUUCUUGCGAAUAGUGAGAAGGAUUGACGGUACCGGAAUAGAAAGCCACGGCUAACUACGUGCCAGCAGCCGCGGUAAUACGUAGGUGGCAAGCGUUGUCCGGAAUUAUUGGGCGUAAAGCGCGCGCAGGCGGAUAGGUCAGUCUGUCUUAAAAGUUCGGGGCUUAAACCCGUGAUGGGA